CAGCAGUCGCACGUUAAUUGAAAAAAAAUAUGCGACUUUCUGUCUGUUUUGCUCCAUCAGUCCAUAAAUUGAGGUCCUGUUUAUUUACAAAGCUACAUUCUGCAACUUUCAGCGGUCGUAUUCACUUUAUGGCGUGUGGGCAAUUGAACGUGGCUAAGGGGAAUGGGGUUGAGGUUCUUGAGAAGGUCGAAGGAUUUGAAGCCCGACGGAAUACGCUGUUAUUUGGUGCCCGAAAGUCUGGGGUGGAAGGCCCAUACAUACCGCAACGGACAGUCGUGUUUUUCCCGGGUGACGUUCAGAAUUUCGAGAACAUCAUGAAGCAUCAUGAAGCAAAUCAGAAAUGGAAAGAAUGGACAUUUGAGAGCACUGUUGGCAUGUUGCAGAAUAGGUUCCCUGAUGCUCAGGUUGUCAUGGUGACACCCUCACGUCGGGUGGACGAGACCUUCAGUUGCUAUGACAACUUUAUGGAGACAGACGUCCUUGGUUCGCCCACCAGCUACGAGUACCGUCAUGCAUGGGAGCAUCUGAGACUCCUGAUUCAGAAUGCUUGGAAAUGUAUCACAGAAAAGCCAUCCACGGAAGGAGCAGAUCCUGCCGGAGAAAAAGUGACUGAGUCUUCACUGACGGUGAUUGGUUUCAGCAAAGGCUGUACAGUCCUCAAUCAGCUCAUGUACGAACUAGAAAGGGCAUGCUCAGACCAAGCAAUACUUGCCUUUAUCAGGAGAGUCGAGGCCUUCUAUUGGCUAGACGGUGGCCAUGCUGGUACUGUCUCGACGUAUGUUACAGAUGACAGUGUUUUAAGAGAGGUUGCCAACCUCAAGGCUACAUUCAAUGUUCAUGUCACUCCCUACCAAGUUAAAGAUGAAGGGCGCCCUCAUAUAGGUGAAGACCAUCUUCAAUUCAUCUCCAAACUGAUGUUGUAUGGUGCAGACGUUAAGAGCACUCUUCACUUCAGAGACGAAAGCAGAUCAUUAAAGAGGCAUUUUGAGGUCCUCAAGCUCUUUUGAGGGCUUCAUAGUGCACGUGAAGGUGUUAUGAUACUCUUGCCAGAAGAUAUGUUGCGGACAGAGAUCCAUCAAGAAUGGCAGAUUGAUGACAAAGCUGUGAUUGACAAUCAACGAGGAACCUGUCACAGACAUCAAAGAUCAUUCAAAGCAAUGAUGGUCUACAGGCAUUUAGAUGAGAAGCACUAGGCUGUUGAGGUAGUCAACCACCUUGCUUUUUGGGCACGGAUCCUAGAGGACAGGAAGGACAUAGUAGCAUUCGGUGCAUGGU
Molecule: unclassified non-coding RNA, 1275 nt
Filed under: Lytechinus variegatus (green sea urchin)
Lineage: Eukaryota; Metazoa; Echinodermata; Echinoidea; Temnopleuroida; Toxopneustidae
Description: uPF0565 protein C2orf69-like, transcript variant X3
Source: RNAcentral